Molecule: long non-coding RNA, 918 nt
Organism: Eucalyptus grandis
Lineage: Eukaryota; Viridiplantae; Streptophyta; Magnoliopsida; Myrtales; Myrtaceae
Exons: 2
Source: RefSeq, a predicted model, not a curated record
AAGGCUCAGCUUUAGAGAAAACGUGCUUUUGCCUUCAAAGAAAACAAACACACCGGCACCACUUUCCUCCUUCCAAACUUCUUUUCCUCCUUUAAAAACGCGCCACCUCCGUUAAAAGAGGUAAAAAUUUUGCAUGCGGGAAUCAAGAUCCGAAACGACUUCACAUAUGGAGAUUAAGGUGGACGACAAUCAUGACAAUGACGUUCCUUCUGUUGCUGUUACCGGUGCAGCUUUGGCCACCAGGGGUCGCCUGCUUGAGGCAAACGGAGGUUGGAGCUAUCGUUCGAUGAUCUCAGAGACGGUAGCUAUCCCGACACUCAGAGAAUUGUCGUGAAGUGUGCUUGGAGAUAAUAAUCAAUCCAUGCAAAGGGGAAUUGAGCUUUCCUGGUCCGAAACUCUAGUACUACAAUGUGUUCGUUCUUGUAGUUUGCACUUUGUUUCCUUUUUUUCCCCUUUUGUUUUCUGUUUUCUUUUACUUUUUUACCUUAUGUUGGUAGGAUUACCUUGAAGAGGGAUGAAGAAUGACUUCUGGGUAGGGUAGUUACUCCAGCACCGUAGUGAUUUGAUAGAAGAUAGUGAGCAUGCAAGAAAUUAUGGAAAUUCAGGAGCUGCGUGAGGAUUGAAAGUUAUGUUAUGCAAAUAAUGCUUUGCACUUGCAACCGCUGAAUUCUCGAUAAAUAGUGAUAUGUAGAGGGUGAAGCGGAAUUUUAUGAGCUCUUAGUUUGUGCCAAUGAAUGAUCAGCAGAAUUUAAAGGAUCGAUCUUUAGCAGAUAAAAAGGUAAACUAUAUCCAUAAUAAACUUCUGUUUUUUGCUUGUGUGAUGUUGCCGAUCUCCUUUAGGUCGUUGCAUUUCUCUUUCCUGAAUUUCGAUAAUCAAGAUUGUAUUGUUAUAUAAUUGCAAGUUUCUGAUUCUUCUGA